Molecule: non-coding RNA, 68 nt
Submitted as: unclassified sequences
Source: Rfam
GGGGCGAAUUAUGCCCCAAAGUGCGUGUGAAUAGUUCGCUCUUUGGCCAGACGGACGGUUCGUGAAUC